Xylaria scruposa is the source of this 87-nucleotide non-coding RNA. The record is from the annotation of a GenBank genome assembly. NCBI's taxonomy places the organism in Eukaryota, Fungi, Ascomycota, Sordariomycetes, Xylariales, Xylariaceae.
GGCACUUGGUGUACGGGUAACACGCCGCUGUCGGUAACACGUUGUGCGAAGUAGCGGAGAGCUCUGGUUCGAACCCAGAGAGUGCCC